Long non-coding RNA from Gouania willdenowi (blunt-snouted clingfish), 1547 nucleotides. Ensembl lists it as uncharacterized. NCBI's taxonomy places the organism in Eukaryota, Metazoa, Chordata, Actinopteri, Blenniiformes, Gobiesocidae. The record is from Ensembl.
CGAACUCUGCCUCACGUGAUUCAGCAUUUCGAAAGACGCCGUUGCCAUGUGAGAUGAAAGACCUGUGGUGAUAGUUACCAACAGCUUUGCCGACGAGUUCCAUUUACUGGACGUUUGCUAAACGUGUUACAGUUCACUCUUAUCACUCAUAUCUCUAGUUUUCACUUAUUUACAUUAACCUCUGCGAUAUUGUCGCAUUUUGUCACAUUCGUUAGUAAAUAAAUAGUUCCAAAAUGAAAAUCAACGGAAUUGAGAAAGUUUCACAUAGCCCCGUGAACACCUCCCACAGCAAUGUGUCCCGCCCUCUGUAUCCGAUACGAGAAGAACAGCAGCACAGGGAUGGCAGAAAGCACCACAAAGAGACGCAGACAGUUCUGGGCAGAGUCUUAAAGAAAGAACCGAACUGGGAGGAUGGGAGCGAAGAAUUCAGAGACAGACGUUGUUUCAACGAGAGGAAACGCAAGAGAGACGUGGCUGAUGGUGUUACUGACAUGAUGCCUGCUCCCAAAAGGAGUCUAAACACUGACGGCGAGGACAAGCCUGAGCUAGGAGCACUGUCUGUGCAACCAGCGCCACCUCAGGACACAGAGAGCGUAGCAUUCGUCUCUGUUGGCUGUCAGACUGUUCAACAGAGUUUCAAACCCAUCAAAAUUGAACCUCCAGAUGAGCCAGUGAUGGGUGACGUCACUCCUCCAGACGGCGAGGACAAGCCUGAGCUAGGAGCGCUGUCUGUGCAACCAGCGCCACCUCAGGACACAGAGAGCGUAGCGUCCGUCUCUGUUUGGAUUGAAACACUGAUAAACAGUCUGAAAGCCAUUGAAGCUGUCCAUGCACGUCAGGCAAGCAACACCAAGGCCAUGGGUUUAAGAGAAUUAUUCAGACUCAUCUCAAUGGUUCUGCACAAUUGGAAUCUGGAGGCCUCGGGGGAUAUGGUUUCAGAAAGCAACUGCACUCCAAAUAUUCCCAGAAUUUUAAAGAAAGAACCAAACUGGGAGGAUGGGAGUGAAGAAUUCGGAGACAGAAGCAAGAGGAAACGCAAGAGAGAUGUGGCUGAUGGUAUUACUGACAUGACGCCUGCUACCAAAAGGAGUCUAAACACUGACGGCGAGGACAAGCCUGAGCUAGGAGCACUGUCUGUGCAACCAGCGCCACCUCAGGACACAGAGAGCGUAGCAUUCGUCUCUGUUGGCUGUCAGACUGUUCAACAGUGUUUCAAUCCCAUCAAAAUUGAACCUCCAGAUGAGCCAGUGAUGGGUGACGUCACUCCUCCAGACGGCGAGGACAAGCCUGAGCUAGGAGCGCUGUCUGUGCAACCAGCGCCACCUCAGGACACAGAGAGCGUAGCAUUCGUCUCUGUUGGCUGUCAGACUGUUCAACAGUGUUUCAAACCCAUCAAAAUUGAACCUCCAGAUGAGCCAGUGAUGGGUGACGUCACUCCUCCAGUGAGGUGUUGGAGCAGAAACCGUCUGUAGGAGAUUUUUCAGAUCACCCCGGUCCAGUCCAUGGCCUGGAAAACCACAAUGGCCUCCUUCACAUGUGUUGAGGGG